RNAcentral lists this transfer RNA (73 nucleotides) under Diaphorina citri (Asian citrus psyllid). It matches the Rfam family "tRNA". Rfam says of the family: Transfer RNA (tRNA) molecules are approximately 80 nucleotides in length. Lineage: Eukaryota; Metazoa; Arthropoda; Insecta; Hemiptera; Psyllidae. The record is from Rfam by way of RNAcentral.
GCCUAGUUAGCUUAGUUGGUAGUGCGUCUGCAUUGUAAGCGCUAGGCCGCGGGUUCGAUUCCCGCCCGGGGUG